RNAcentral lists this ribosomal RNA (253 nucleotides) under uncultured bacterium. RNAcentral describes it as "partial 16S ribosomal RNA". It matches the Rfam family "Bacterial small subunit ribosomal RNA", at positions 524 to 776 of the family's 1533-position model. The record is from RNAcentral.
UACGUAGGGUGCGAGCGUUGUCCGGAAUUAUUGGGCGUAAAGAGCUCGUAGGCGGUCUGUCGCGUCUGCUGUGAAAACCCGAGGCUCAACCUCGGGCCUGCAGUGGGUACGGGCAGACUAGAGUGCGGUAGGGGAGAAUGGAAUUCCUGGUGUAGCGGUGGAAUGCGCAGAUAUCGGGAGGAACACCGAUGGCGAAGGCAGUUCUCUGGGCCGUAACUGACGCUGAGGAGCGAAAGCGUGGGGAGCGAACAGG